Molecule: non-coding RNA, 26 nt
Filed under: Ailuropoda melanoleuca (giant panda)
Lineage: Eukaryota; Metazoa; Chordata; Mammalia; Carnivora; Ursidae
Also listed under: 5 other names
Source: RNAcentral
AUGCUUUGUACCCUGUGACACCACCA